GCCUCGCCAGGUGCCGGGGACGUCUCCAGACGUGCCAAUUCUUCCUCUUCGUGCCAGAGACGUCUCUGGGACAAACCGGAGACGUCUCGGCUGUCCUUGAUCUGUUUUCUUUAUCUCAAAAAAUCUUCAAUAAAUCCUUGAAAAAUAUGGGAACAUGCCUUGACAAUUCUUAACAAUAUUCUUAGUUAAACACCUGAAAUCCUCAAAUAAAUUGUUAAUAUAAAGGAAAUUAUACUCUAGUAUUUUGUAUUCAUCAAAAUCCAUUAGGGGGUCAACACAAACCCACCGCCAUCUCUCCUGCCACCAUCCAACAUGGAUUUAUCGAAAUUGACCUUGAGAAAACUCAGGGGUAGGGGCUUCUAGGUGAAAAAUAUCACACGAGAUGCUCCCUGAAUAGAAUGGAGGUCCUAGAUGUCCCGAGCUAUCAAAGGCCUAUGUGCUAAGCCUGCAUGCAUGAUCUCUACCGUCUGUGUCCUAGCGCACUCCAUGAUGAACCUCAGGAACAGACUCCUCUUGUCAAAAGUCUAAGUGUUCCAUGCCAGCCAGAUCUAAUAAUCUGUGCAGGUCGCUCCAACAGCCACCGGCACAUUUGGGGGACCCCGAACCACUGCUGAAUUGCCUGUAGGAAAGGCCCCAUCCCACUCCAUGCAGCUUGCGAGAUCUCGACGAGCCUCCAGACCUCCUGGCCCAUCAUAUCAGAACAGGACAUGAUCCACUAUCUCAUCCACCCGAUAGUCCGAACACUAGGGUUGAAUGCCUACCCAGCACUAAUGUCGUCGGCAAGCGCUCCCAGAUCACCUUCCAAAAAAAUAAUACUAUCCUCGGAUGGAGUCCGAAGCUCUAGAUCCAAGCACAAUCCAUCCUAGGCCUAUGCUCCGGCUAGAGGACGCGGAAGACAUCUCCCACCCUAAUACUGGUUCUGCAAGACGUGCUCCAAAUCCUCACAUCUGGGCCAACACAUCUCAGAACCGGAUAGUCAACUCCCUUAGUGAAAGAUUAAUUACAUUCUUAGUUUACAGUUCGUGAAUCAAUAUCCUUUUGAUUGAGGGCACUGGUUUCAUGUUUCGCCUAUAAGUGUGGAUCAUGUGCAACAAACCAUUGUUCAUGAUGGAGAUUAAAUAUAUUUGAUUAAGGGUUAGGUCUGUUUCAAUCACAUUUGUCCUUGUAGUUCACUCUAUAUUAAACUAAAUAUGCUUCAACUUUUAUUUGCACUAUAGAUUGACAUGCACAAAAUUGGCAUAUCCAUCUUCGUUCUUAUUAGUUUGUUCCUCUUAGAUUAAUCACAGCAGGUGGUUCAGUUAAACAGUUUAUGAUUCACAAGCUCAUAGAACCAUGUGCAUAGAAUUUAUUUUGGCUGACUCUAUUAAAUUCCAAAAUUUUCAACUUUUCUAAAAGCAACCAGGUUAAGAGUCAGUUGAAAUAGCCAACAUACACAUGCUGAUUACUUAAUAAAUUGACCUAAAAGUCUGUAUUAAUAAUUAAUCUUCUUAACUUAGAGGCUGUCCAUCAAUAAUCAUGGUCUUCGGUUUUAGGCCUUGCAGUCCAUUUGAGCUCAAAAUCAUAAAACCCUAACCAGCUUGGUCUUGGACUGAAAUCAUAUGUUCCUAGAAUAUGCUGGGGGCCAAUUUUAGCACAGCUCGACCGAGGAGUUGUUGGGGCAUUCCUGGGCCGGAUUUGGGCAUCGCCCGGGCAUGUGGUUUUAACUUUCCGCUAAGUAUAAAUGAAAUCUAGGGGUGGAAGUCAAGCAUGAUGCAUCUAUAAGUUCGCUGCCCUAUGGGCUGCUGCAAAACGUAAGCUGGAUUGGCUUCUUAUACAAAAUCCUUACCCGAGAACAAUCUCAAAAAGGCGUAGACCCAGUUCUCAAAUGGAAAAUGCUUUGAGUGCACGUGAUGUGCUGACAAAAAUUAGGUCUACUUACCAACCCAUCAUGUUUGGCAACAAAAUUCUGGAGCACCUCUUACCACAUAAUGAGAGAAUUGUUUGUGUGCACUUAAAAAGGAGUCAUGUAGAAUUAUUUUCUUAAAUAAUGAAGUUAGCAUUGGUUUGGCUUGUUAAUUAUUUUUCUUGAAAAUUUCAAAAAAGGCAGGAUUUAUAGCCUUCUUAGAGCCUAUUGGGCUAUUUCUAUAGAGUUGGCCUCAAAAUCUUGUAGGAUCCGUAGAUAGGGCCAUCUAAUUAAGUAUGGUCUUGUAUCAACCAAACUCCAUCCAGCUCAAAUACUAUGGAAAGAAAAAAAAAUCUCCAUAAGUCUUUUUUUUCUUUUUGCAGCCAAAAAGCUAGAAUCUAGAAUGGAUUUGAAGAAGAAGGGAAAAAAAAAAGAAUUUUCAGGCCAAACUUAUAGAAAUAUCCAAACAAGCUCUUAGAGAUAUUUAGAUAAAAACAGAUUUCUCUUUUCUUUGUUUUUUUCUUCUUUUUUUUUUGUGAUUUGAAAGAGGUCGUCAAAAUUGGUUGCAGCUUAAAUACAAAAUUUCAAGGCCGACUCGGAUCCUAAUUGCAGAAGCUUAAGCAAGCUUGUGAUCAUUUAUUGCAAGCCUAUAUAUUGUUCGGCUUUGUUUCAUUUUCAGCCCUGGAGCCAAUCGUUCAUUGAAGGUGCCGUCAGACAAUGAAAGGCUGGUAUUGUAAUCUUCUGAAUUCCAAAUAAUAGCUUAAAUGUUUCAUGUGGCCUACAGAACAUUUAUGGCUGAGACAUCCAUCUCGUCUGACUCUCAAUUAGAAUGUCACAAGAUAAUGUGAAACAAGUUAUAUGCAUUAAUGCUUCAAAGUAAUUUAAACAAAUAAGUCAUAACAUCAAAUUCUUCUACUACUACAUUUGAUCUAAGAUUUUUGAGAGAGAGAGAUAGCUAGAGAGAGAGGGAGUUGUUGUUGGAAAACCAUACAUGCUGCAGAAAAAUAAAAUCACAGCAGAAUUUGAUAAAACAUAAGAGAAAGAUCAUAAGAGAAGAUGCAUUCACGGUUGUUCAUCUCAUGAACAUAUUAAAAAACCAUUCGUAGAUGGAUUAAGAUUAAAACAUAAGAGAAAGAUCAUAUAUUCACCUUGUGCGGGUAGAUUUUCACCAGAAUUUGAUAAUCAUGGAAAACUUAAAAUAUUCGCUUGAAGCCGCACACACGUCCAGCUUCUACAGGUAUCCACACGAGGAAGUAGAUCGAUCCAAGUCUCUAUAUCUCAUCAGGGUGCUGCCUCCCAUGUAGAGAUCACUUUUAAUGGUUGAAUCUCUCUUGAACAAUCAACUCUUGAUUGCUCUCAAGAGGAAGAAGAAGGAUGAAGGGAGGAGAUGAGGGCCACACCCUUUCUUUUCCCUUUGGCUUGCGGAAGAAGAAGAAAGAAGAAAAGGAGGGCGCACGGGAUCAAAAGAAAAGGUGAGAGAGGAGGCUGGCCCCUUCUUUUCCUUUUAUUUUGUUGCCCUAGGCGUGGAGCUCCUAAAAAUUAGGAGCUCAUGCAUGCCUAGCCUUAUUAAGAGGGGCACACGCCCCUCCUUUCUUUUGGGCAUGAUAGAGUCCUCCUCUAAGGAGGAUUAGGUGGCCUAAUUUUAAUCCUUAUCUAAUAAGAAGUCUUCUUUCUGAACAUGACUCAAUUUUGGACUCUAGGACUCUUAAUCCUUAUCUAAUAAGGAGUCCUACUGCAAUUAGGAUUCUUCAUCCUUAUCUAAUAAGGAGUCCUAUUGCAAUUAGGAUUCUUCAAUUAAGAUUCUCAGUCCUAAUCUAAUUAAUACUCUAGGAGUCCUACUCCAAGUAGGACUCUUAAACCUUAUCAAUAGGGUUAAACCCAAUUCAUUUAGUCCAAUUGAAUCAAUCAAAUUGCAAUCCAUUUGCAAUUCUUCUUUCUUCAACUUACUAAAUCUUAGUGAGUUAAACCAAUUAUCAAUCAAAUUGAUAAUCAUGAUCUAUUGCGAUUCCAAAUCGCAAUCCAACCAUCGGAUCAGUCAAUACCUUUUAUGUGUGUGACCCUAUAGGUUCUAUUCUAUCUGGUAGUGAGAUAUAUUGUAAUUCCUAUCACAAUAUCAUUAAAACUUCUUUCAAUGGGUUAGAACAAUUCUAACUUAUCUCAGCAGGGAUCACUGACCAUCAAGAUAAUUCAUGUGAUUCUUGCCAUCUACCAGUGACAUCUAGUAGCAUGUAGUGGCAACCCAGCAGACUGAAAUAGAUGAAUCUCUAGAUGCAGUUAUCGUAUGAUCCAGUCCUUCUAUCGUGGAUUCCUACAAGACGGAGGUCAUGGAUAACUUGUCAAACCCCAUCGUCUGUCAUAUAUCAAGAUUUAUUCGACUUUAGUUCGAAAGCGGAAAACUCCUUUUCCACUGUAUAUACUGACUCAGCCGAAAUCUUUCGAACUCAGUCUCAUAAAUUACAUAGGACCACUUCUUAUCUACCAAGGUCAAUAGAUUCAAUGUAGGUGCACACCCUACUCCUACAGUGAACCUACUGCAGCCAAUCUGCACCACAAGGAUUCAUAUAGCUAGAAACCAUGUAUAUGUGUAGUUAAACUACAGCAACCUUACUGUGAAUAGCCGAGACACUACAAGUCAAAGGACCAGUCAUACCACUGCAACAUCAAGUAAGUCACUCGAGUGGAUAGACAUCCAAAUGACUUCUUACGUUGGUCAUGCUCGGUAUCCUUAUUCUCUAACAAGCACUUGCACUAUUACUCCAGUGUCUCUACACUAUGGACUCGAGACUCGUCCAUCCAAAAGAAAAGCGAUCCAUGCACUAAUCUCACCGGAUCAAUCACCGUCCCCGUGAUGAUCCAUUGAUGAGGAGCAUUUAGGAAUUAAUCACCAAUGACACAUAGCUCAAAGUCUCAACUCUUGAGAAUAUGUAUCAUCAUCUUAUUAAUUUCUUAGAUGAUUCAUGGACACAUACACAAUAUGAAUGAAAAAAGAUAUCCAAUAUUAUUAAAUAAUAACAAAGUCAAGUACAAAACUAUGUCCCCAAAUAAAUAAUGUAUCAGCCAGAUGGGCUUCUAGGGCAUAUAUUUAACAGUUGUGUAGAUUGAAUAUGCGCUUAGGUUAUAACUAUUUUAGGGACUAGUCGUAACCCAUCAAGUCUAGGUGUGGCUUACCAUAUGCUGUGUUGAAGACUUCAACAUUAAUUCACUUACGUAUUUGUUUGAUUGUUGAAAAAUAAUGCUUUUCAUUUCAGCCAACUUGACAUAAAAAUUGGUGUACAUUGCAAGGCAACAAUCAUUCAUACAAGUCAAUAAAACAUAAUGCCAGAAUAGAUGCUACUUCUCUUAAAGAAAAAGAGAGCCUGAUGCACAUUGUCUACAAUCUUUCAAAUAUGAGCCUAAGAAGGAUAUGAAUGGAGACAAUAUCAUAUCGUUUGGUAUACGCUCAUGUCAUGUCCUCAAGUUUACCAUUGGUCAGCGCUUUGGGCUCCCACGUCUACGUUAUAGAGGUCAUGCGGCGACCGCCGUGUUGUUUGGACCACGAGGAGGGUCGGCCAUGGUGGAAAUUGGAAGAAAUGGAAGAAGAGGUAACAAAAAGCUAAGGAUCUGAUCAAAGGAGGGCAAUCAACAGAUGGGACAAGAAAUGAUUCAAGGAUGAGCUCAUGUUACUCGAUUGCAGGAAGACUAGGAGCAUCAUUUUGUAUUUCCAACUUUUGCUUUAGAAGCGAUAUUGGGAAAUGCCUUUCAUUGCCGUGUGAUGAUGGGAAAAAAAGUGAGGAUGAAAUGACAUGGAGACCGCAAUAUAGCUUCACCGCAGUCAAUUCUCACUGAUCAGCUUUUUGUCUAUUAGAAGUCUUCCUGUCACCCUAGCUUAUAACCUAAUCUAUGUCAUAGCUUGAUCUUGUGAUUUCAAUAUUGCAUUUGAAGUACCUCACUCUUGAGAAUUCUAAAAUCUCAUUGUAAGCUUAGCGAUCAUUCCUUUGUUUUCUUAUAUAUUUUAUAUUUAGUUCUAGCACACUUAGCAUGUACGUUUUAUCCAAUUAGGUUUUUCUGUCCCCAUUGUUUUACACGCUAGGAAUUAAAUAUACAAUGGCUAUCAAAAUCAAAUAUCAAGAAUAAAAUUUCGAAUCAACAAGAAGUAAAUAUAAAAUUGCAGUCAAUCCAAUAAGUGGCCCCAAUUUUUCUUAAUCUUAUUUUUUUUUAAUAUUACAAACUAUUGGAUUUAUGAGGGAAGAAAAGGCAAGAAGCCAAAAGAAAUUGGGCUUAACCUCAUAAAACCAAGCAUACUCAAACACCAUUUUUGUUUAGAUGCAAAAAUUGGAAGAUGCUACUCAAGAAUGUCUAGAUCUAUGGUUAAGCCCGUCACAUGCUCGAUUAAUAUCAAUUCCUUCACAAUCUACUCAUCAACAUCUAGUUUACAAGGCUAAAGAGAGCCUUAGAUACUAAAGAGCAUGCUUACAUACACAUACAUACAUAUAUGCAUAUAUGUAAACACAUGCAUGCAUGCAUGCAUAGAGAAGCACAAAAUUGUAUUUGACAUUUUAUAGCAACUAAAAUUGUCCUAGCUCUACAAUUUAUACCGCUAACUCAACCAGACACAACAUAUAAGAUGACCAAUCUGCAAUUUUAUGAAACAUGUGGCUCCAUCAUCCAUCUCUGACAUGUCCAAAGUAAACUCAACAUUGUGCCUCCUAGCUAGCAUAAAUGCAUGUGUUACAGACAUAGCUUCACUAUAACACUGACAUGAUGGCGUGGUCCAUUUUUUUAUCAACAUCCAUCAUUUUGCUGCCAUUUGACAAUUAUUUCGUUCGAAUCAAAGCUAGUACAAGAAAAUCCCGCCGAUAGCGAUUCGUGCUUUCCAUUCCCCGUCGGUGCUUCGAAUAUUUCUCACUUUUUCAACAAAAGCUCCCUAGCAUAAGUAGUUGGUGGCAGUUAAUCUUUCACCUCUGGAACAAUCGCCAAAAAUUAAUCAAAUCCCAUGUGCACGGCAGCUUUAUGAUCCAGCCAAAACAAACCAUUUUGGCAGGAAAUUGUGGAAUCAAAGGAAUCAAAGGAAGGCUUGCACAUGGAAGCCUUCAGACGUGCACACUCUAGCGUGCUGGUGGAGAUCCAGUUGUCUGGUUUCCGAUGGUCCGCGGUUGGGUGCGUCCGGCCUAUAUCCAUGGCCGUAGCCACAUUGGCCCACCACUUUCACCAAUGGAAGCCAUCAUAUCGUCCUCCGACAUCCGCGGUCAUUUGGAUACCCUUGGCUGUAUUCCCAACAAGUAGAAUUCCAGCAUCCAAGACCCUUUUUUUCUGGUCCGGAGAAGGACGUUGGUCCCAAUCGCAAAAAAAGAGGAGGAUGUUGGUCUCUGAGGACCCACAUUAAAUGAUAUAAACGAAACCUACCCUUCUCGGAUCUUUAUUUUACUGGCUUAUUACUUUGACAAACCCACGCCUGACCCGUCCGUGCUGCCGACUCUGCCGACCCCAUCCCGCUUAGAGAUAAGUACGGGACGAUGGAUGUUGAUCUAUGCAACCCACACCUAACUCAUUGCCAUCCUUAAGAGUCGGAGGAAGAAAAGAAAGAGAAAGACAGAUAUAGCUGGUUUGAUUUGGAUAAUUAUUUUUAAGAUUUUUUUUACAUAAAUAUUCUUCUAAAAAUUUAGAUUUGCAUUAAUACUUUUUUAAAAUUUAUAUUUAUUUCUAUACCCUCAUAAAAAAACUGUUUUUGCACAAAUGCCCCUAAUAUAACGGUUCUUUUAAUACCGUCAAUAAAAACCAUAUUUAAUUUAAUUAAAAAUAAAAUAAAAUUUUAAAAUUACUUUUUUGUCCUCCAUUACGAUCAUCUUAUAAAUGUUUCUUUUUUGCACAUCUACCCAUUAAGAAUAUUUUAGUUAUUUUAAUUUGAAAUCCUUAAUUUUUUAAUGGCAUUAGAUGAUGUGGGUACAUAUAGAAAAAUAAGAAUAAAAUAAAAUAAAAUAGCGAAAUAAGUAUUUUACGAAGGUAUACAUGUAAAUAUCAAUUUUAGAAGAGUAUUCAUGUAAAUUUAAUAUUUAGGAGGGUAUUCAUAUAAAAGAAAACUUUAUUUUUAAGUUGCAAAAGAAAUUUCUCUCAGAGGAAAGAGAGUGCCAAUUAGAAUGCUUUACUUUGUUAUUGUUUCAAAGCAAGUCAUGUAUAUAGAUGUGAUUUG
RNAcentral lists this long non-coding RNA (8048 nucleotides) under Phoenix dactylifera (date palm). Its description in RNAcentral is "long non-coding RNA (PDAC_LNC006760)". Lineage: Eukaryota; Viridiplantae; Streptophyta; Magnoliopsida; Arecales; Arecaceae. The record is from RNAcentral.